Molecule: transfer RNA, 62 nt
Filed under: Riftia pachyptila (tube worm)
Lineage: Eukaryota; Metazoa; Annelida; Polychaeta; Sabellida; Siboglinidae
Description: tRNA-Arg
Source: RNAcentral
ACAAAUAGCAUAUCACAUGCAUUACGAUUUCGGCUCGUAAAGCGGAACUUUUCCUUUGUUUU